This 435-nucleotide ribosomal RNA is filed under the name uncultured bacterium. RNAcentral's name for it is "bacterial SSU rRNA". It matches the Rfam family "Bacterial small subunit ribosomal RNA", at positions 355 to 786 of the family's 1533-position model. The record is from RNAcentral.
UGAGGAAUAUUGGUCAAUGGUCGCUAGACUGAACCAGCCAAGUAGCGUGCGGGAUGAAGGCCCUCCGGGUCGUAAACCGCUUUUAGACGGGGAUAAAAGGGCGUACGUGUACGCCGUAUUGCAUGUACCGUCAGAAAAACGGACCGGCUAAUUCCGUGCCAGCAGCCGCGGUAAUACGGAAGGUCCGGGCGUUAUCCGGAUUUAUUGGGUUUAAAGGGAGCGUAGGCGGACUUUCAAGUCAGUGGUAAAUCGUGUGGCUCAACCAUACCUCGCCAUUGAAACUGGAAGUCUGGAGUGCACACAGGGGUGCCGGAAUUCAUGGUGUAGCGGUGAAAUGCUUAGAUAUCAUGAAGAACUCCGAUCGCGAAGGCAAGUGCCCGGGGUGCAACUGACGCUGAGGCUCGAAGGUGCGGGUAUCGAACAGGAUUAGAUACC